UUAUGGCCACAUCAGGUUGAAACCCCGGUUCCCGUACGAUCACCGAAGUUAAGCAGCGCUUAGCGUGGUCAGUACUUAGACGGUUACCCGCUUGGGAAUAUCUGGUGCAGUAUG
This is a non-coding RNA of Acanthosepion pharaonis, 114 nucleotides long. NCBI's taxonomy places the organism in Eukaryota, Metazoa, Mollusca, Cephalopoda, Sepiida, Sepiidae. The record is from the annotation of a GenBank genome assembly.